GCCGCAGCACACUCUCUAAUCGAGCUGUAACACUCGCCACUGCCGUCCACGGCUUCAUUCCUUGAAGCCGUGAGACCACGAACCCUUCGAUUGAGAAGAACCUUCGGUCGGAAGAAGACUUCUCGUCUCAGUAACAAUAACAAGAAAAACAGCCUAGACUAGACGCACAUCAGGAAGACAGUUAAUCCCGUCAUGUAUUGACCCGGAAACAUCAUCUCAUUUGCCUAUAAGACAGAGAGAGAGAAUGAUAGAAAUGCUGGAAGAACGAGCCUUGGGGCGGUAUCGCCCAGAUCUGAAUCCACACAGCAGCUGCUUCGGUCCCUGUAACUCAAGGCUUCCUCUUAAUCCUCUGUCCUCCAUCAACACCUGGCUGAGCAGGAACAACUAUGACCUAGGACCAGGGCCUUCAGGAAUCUUCACCCCUAACUUGAACUUCAUAACACUGGAGAGAGAGACUGUGGAAUGGAAUGACUCUCCAGAGCUGCAGAUUGAAGGCAUAUUUUCAUCUGACUUUGAUCUCAAUGGCGGGAACACCUUCAUGGCCCCUUUAUAGCUGGAUGAUCAUUUCCUGUUCUCUCCACCAUGGCCACCUGGUCCAAGCCACCAUCUUCAUGCACCUGGAUACCUGCCAUAACCUCAGCUGACCUUUCCUGUGUCCAUUCUUGUUCCUUUGGGCCCAGUCUCCUCGCUCAUAGCAGCAGAAUGAGUCUAUUAAAAAGUGAAACAAUUUCUGUCA
This 736-nucleotide long non-coding RNA is filed under the name Homo sapiens (human). Its description in RNAcentral is "non-protein coding LINC00944:33". Lineage: Eukaryota; Metazoa; Chordata; Mammalia; Primates; Hominidae. The record is from RNAcentral.